RNAcentral lists this long non-coding RNA (808 nucleotides) under Homo sapiens (human). Its description in RNAcentral is "non-protein coding SNAP25-AS1:3". Lineage: Eukaryota; Metazoa; Chordata; Mammalia; Primates; Hominidae. The record is from RNAcentral.
UACCGGAGCCAUGGAAGUCAAAUGCUGAGGAUGGUGGCAUCAUAGGAUGAAUGGAGCUGGGUUCUUGAAACACUGCCUGGAGGAAAGACAGCAAAAAUGCCUCAUGAAUCCAACUGGACUGUUAGGAUGCUCACCCUUGGAGACCAGCAACAAUGUGUGCAGAAACCCAGGCCAUGUGGAGAGGCCCCACAUACGUGUCCAACUGAGGUCCCAGCUGACAGCUGGCAUUGACAUAAUGUUCACUCUGGGGGAAGCCAGCUGCCACGCUGUAAGGACACUCGGGCAGUCCUAUGAAGAGGCCCGUGUGGUGAGAAAGAGAGGCCUCCAGCCAACAGCCAUGUGAGUGGGCCAUUGAGGAAGCAGCCUCAGUGCCUGCAGCCCUGACUGGCAUCCUGAACUACCACCUUAAAUGAGACCCUGAGCCAGAGUCACUACUUCCAAAUUCUUGACCCACAGAAAUUGUGAAAUAAUAUUUGUUGUUUUAAGCCGCCAAGUUUUGGGAGUAAUUUGUUAUAUAGCAAAAGAUAAUUAAUACAUUCACUUCCUAAGAUUAUGGUGAAGAAUUAAGGAUACAGCAUGAAAAGAACUUUGCUAUUAUUUUUAUUAUCUGAUCCAAUUUAUGUUGAAGGGCCUUCAGUACUUUCUUCUUUUACUCUAUCUUGACAUUUGUCUGAAACAUUUUUGUUUGUUUGUUUGUUUGUUUGUUUGUUUUUUAGAGAUGGGGUCUUGCUAUGUUUCCCAGUUGGAGUGCAGUGAUUAUUCACAGACAUGAUCCCACUACUGAUCAGCAUGGGAGUUUUCACCUGCU